UACGGAAGGCAGCAAUGGGGAAUAUUGCACAAUGGGCGAAAGCCUGAUGCAGCUAUGCCGCGUGUAUGAAGAAGGCCUUAGGGUUGUAAAGUACUUUCAUCGGGGAGGAAAAACAAAACUAAUAAUUUUAUUUCUUGACGUUACCCGAAAAAGAAGCACCGGCUAACUCCGUGCCAGCAGCCGCGGUAAUACGGAGGGUGCUAGCGUUAAUCAGAAUUACUGGGCGUAAAGAGCACGUAGGUGGUUUUUUUAAAGUCAGAUGUGAAAUCCCUGGGCUUAACCUAGGAACUGCAUUUUGAAACUGAAAUACUAGAGUAUCGUAGAGGGAGGUAGAAUUCUAGGUGUAGCGGUGAAAUGCGUAGAUAUCUGGAGGAAUACCUGUGGCGAAAGCGGCCUCCUAAACGAAUACUGACACUGAGUGCGAAAGCGUGGGGAGCAAACAGGGAUUAGAUACCCGU
Molecule: ribosomal RNA, 458 nt
Filed under: uncultured bacterium
Lineage: Bacteria
Description: bacterial SSU rRNA
Rfam family: Bacterial small subunit ribosomal RNA
Source: RNAcentral